Molecule: ribosomal RNA, 174 nt
Filed under: Ecnomiohyla minera (Guatemala treefrog)
Lineage: Eukaryota; Metazoa; Chordata; Amphibia; Anura; Hylidae
Description: partial 16S ribosomal RNA
Source: RNAcentral
ACGUGAUCUGAGUUCAGACCGGAGUAAUCCAGGUCAGUUUCUAUCUAUAAAGGGCUUUUUCCAGUACGAAAGGACCGAAAAAGCGUGGCCAAUGUUCUAUGCAAGCCAUACUAUCAAUUUAUGAUUUAAACUCAAUAAUCAACUGGCCUUUAACCUCAUUCUAGACAAGAAGCA